CAGUCGCCGCGGGAAUACGUAGGGUGCGAGCGUUAAUCGGAAUUACUGGGCGUAAAGCGUGCGCAGGCGGUUCGUUAAGACAGAUGUGAAACCCCCGGGCUUAACCUGGGAACUGCAUUUGUGACUGGCGAGCUAGAGUAUGGCAGAGGGGGGUAGAAUUCCACGUGUAGCAGUGAAAUGCGUAGAGAUGUGGAGGAAUACCGAUGGCGAAGGCAGCCCCCUGGGCCAAUACUGACGCUCAUGCACGAAAGCGUGGGGAGCAAACAGGAUUAGAGACCCGUGUAGUCCCUGUCUCUUAUAC
Molecule: ribosomal RNA, 301 nt
Filed under: uncultured bacterium
Lineage: Bacteria
Description: partial 16S ribosomal RNA
Rfam family: Bacterial small subunit ribosomal RNA
Source: RNAcentral